AUAGUUUGUACUGAACCUUUACCGAAAGAUGGUGUUCCGAUUAGAACAGCUCUUUCAUGGUCUUGUAGCGCGCCAGCGACUAUUUCUGAUGCUGAAGCCGAACCGCCAUUAAUGAGGAUAACUAUCGGUUCUUGACUCAAGACACUAGCAUCUGUUGCUUCAUAUUUUGAUUCGAGGAAUUCAUCUCGACCUUUGAUGGUCACAAUAAGUCCUCUACUGAUGAAAGCAUCCACCACCUCAAUGGCCGCUGAAAGAACACCACCUGGAUUAUUUC
RNAcentral lists this non-coding RNA (274 nucleotides) under marine eukaryotic metagenome. The record is from RNAcentral.